RNAcentral lists this transfer RNA (69 nucleotides) under Megalops atlanticus (tarpon). RNAcentral describes it as "tRNA-Glu". It matches the Rfam family "tRNA". From Rfam's summary of the family: Transfer RNA (tRNA) molecules are approximately 80 nucleotides in length. Their secondary structure includes four short double-helical elements and three loops (D, anti-codon, and T loops). The record is from RNAcentral. Lineage: Eukaryota; Metazoa; Chordata; Actinopteri; Elopiformes; Megalopidae.
GUUUCUGUAGUUGAAUUACAACGAUGGUUUUUCAAGUCAUAGGUCUUGGUUAAACUCCGAGUAGAAAUU